Molecule: ribosomal RNA, 466 nt
Filed under: uncultured bacterium
Lineage: Bacteria
Description: partial 16S ribosomal RNA
Rfam family: Bacterial small subunit ribosomal RNA
Source: RNAcentral
GAUGAACGCUGGCGGCGUGCCUAACACAUGCAAGUCGAGCGAACCUUUCGGGGCGAGCGGCGGACGGGUGAGUAACGCGUGAGUAACCUGCCCUGUACACACGGAUAACAUACCGAAAGGUAUGCUAAUACGGGAUAACAUAUGAGAGUCGCAUGGCUUUCAUAUCAAAGCUCCGGCGGUACAGGAUGGACCCGCGUCUGAUUAGCUAGUUUGUAAGGUAACGGCUUACCAAGGCAACGAUCAGUAGCCGACCUGAGAGGGUGAUCGGCCACAUUGGAACUGAGACACGGUCCAAACUCCUACGGGAGGCAGCAGUGGGGAUUAUUGCACAAUGGGCGAAAGCCUGAUGCAGCAACGCCGCGUGAGCGAUGAAGGCCUUCGGGUCGUAAAGCUCUGUCCUCAAGGAAGAUAAUGACGGUACUUGAGGAGGAAGCCCCGGCUAACUACGUGCCAGCCGCCGCCGUAA